Melospiza melodia melodia is the source of this 352-nucleotide long non-coding RNA. RefSeq lists it as uncharacterized. Lineage: Eukaryota; Metazoa; Chordata; Aves; Passeriformes; Passerellidae. The record is from RefSeq and is a predicted model, not a curated record. The transcript has 3 exons.
UGGGAGCAGGAAAUCCCUUUCCUUCCAAGGACUUUCACAGCAGCAAGCUCGGGGUACCAGUGCUUUGUGAGUUUGGGCUAAGAUAUGUAGCCUUUAGUACAGUCCCGUGGCAGAAGUAAAUCCAAAAUCAAACCUACUGUUGAAUGAAGUACCCUUUCGAGCUAAGGGAGGCACUAUUUGACAGAACAAAAGGUAUCUCUCCAUUCCUGUCAAGCUCAAGGAUAUCUGGAAGUACUGCAAAACGGGAUUAACUCUGCAGCCAUUCUGGGAUCUGCUCUGCACAGCCAGAGAUGCCACUGACAGCUUUUGGAUAGGAGGAAGCUGAGGCUAAAGAGCAGGAAUAUUUCUUGCC